RNAcentral lists this ribosomal RNA (466 nucleotides) under uncultured bacterium. RNAcentral's name for it is "partial 16S ribosomal RNA". It matches the Rfam family "Bacterial small subunit ribosomal RNA", at positions 28 to 507 of the family's 1533-position model. The record is from RNAcentral.
GAUGAACGCUGGCGGCGUGCUUAACACAUGCAAGUCGAACGGAAAGGCCCAAGCUUGCUUGGGUACUCGAGUGGCGAACGGGUGAGUAACACAUGGGUGAUCUGCCCUGCACUUCGGGAUAAGCCUGGGAAACUGGGUCUAAUACCGGAUAGGACCACAUUUUGGAUGGUGUGGUGGAAAGUUUUUCGGUGUGGGAUGAGCUCGCGGCCUAUCAGCUUGUUGGUGGGGUAAUGGCCUACCAAGGCGUCGACGGGUAGCCGGCCUGAGAGGGUGUACGGCCACAUUGGGACUGAGAUACGGCCCAGACUCCUACGGGAGGCAGCAGUGGGGAAUAUUGCACAAUGGGCGCAAGCCUGAUGCAGCGACGCCGCGUGGGGGAUGACGGCCUUCGGGUUGUAAACUCCUUUCGCUAGGGACGAAGCGUUAUGUGACGGUACCUGGAGAAGAAGCACCGGCUAACUACGUG